CUGCGGAGGGAUCAUUACCGAGUUAACAACUCCCAAACCCCUAUGUGAACCUAUACCAAACUGUUGCUUCGGCGGGAGCGCCCCGGCCCAGCCCGGAACCAGGCGCCCGCCGAGGACCCCCUAAACCAUGUUUCCUACAGUUUCUUCUGAGUGGCAAACGCAAAAUAAAUUAAAACUUUUAACAACGGAUCUCUUGGCUCUGGCAUCGAUGAAGAACGCAGCGAAAUGCGAUAAGUAAUGUGAAUUGCAGAAUUCAGUGAAUCAUCGAAUCUUUGAACGCACAUUGCGCCCGCCGGCAUUCCGGCGGGCAUGCCUGUCCGAGCGUCAUUUCAACCCUCAGGGUCCCUCCGCCCAGCGCGGAGGGGCCCUGGUGUUGGGGAUCGGCCCGCCCCGCGCGGCGCCGUCCCCUAAAUUCAGUGGCGGUCCCGCCGCAGCCUCCCCUGCGCAGUAGUUACCAACUCGCACUGGAGCGCGGCGCGGCCACGCCGUAAAACCCCCGACUUCUGGAAAGUUGACCUCGGAUCAGGUAGGAAUACCCGCUGAACUUAAGCAUAUCA
RNAcentral lists this ribosomal RNA (557 nucleotides) under uncultured Stachybotrys. Its description in RNAcentral is "eukaryotic LSU rRNA". The stretch from base 174 to 327 matches the Rfam family "5.8S ribosomal RNA". Lineage: Eukaryota; Fungi; Ascomycota. The record is from RNAcentral.